This 253-nucleotide ribosomal RNA is filed under the name uncultured bacterium. Its description in RNAcentral is "partial 16S ribosomal RNA". It matches the Rfam family "Bacterial small subunit ribosomal RNA", at positions 524 to 776 of the family's 1533-position model. The record is from RNAcentral.
UACGUAGGUGGCAAGCGUUGUCCGGAUUUACUGGGCGUAAAGAGCGCGCAGGCGGUCGUUCAAGUCGCGUGUGAAAGCCCCCGGCUCAACUGGGGAGGGUCACGCGAUACUGAUCGACUCGAAGGCAGGAGAGGGUAGUGGAAUUCCCGGUGUAGUGGUGAAAUGCGCAGAUAUCAGGAGGAACACCGGUGGCGAAGGCGGGUCUCUGGGCCGAAACUGACGCUGAGGAGCGAAAGCGUGGGGAGCGAACAGG